AUGUUUCUGCGGAGACCCUCCUCCGGCGGGGAGAGACAGCGCUCGGUGGCGCCCCGCUUGCCUCCUCUCCACCCCCCUCACCUCCAGCCCGCCUCCCGCCGGCCGCCCGCCUCUGGGCCGCGAGCCCCUAGGGCGGCUGUCAGCUCCCGGCCGCCGCCGGGUGACAGGAGCCGGAGGAGGGCGCGACGCGGCGGCCCAAGCCCGAGCGGGCGAGGGGGAUCCUCGCAGCAGCAGCAGCAGCAGCGGCGGCCGCUCACCUGGAAAGUCACCGCUGAGAAGGAGGAGGAGAAGGAGGAGGAAGAGGAGGGAGAGGAGGAGGGGGAGGAAACCCCCCUGGUGCCCUUGUUCUCGCUGCCGCGGCGGCCGCUCCUCGCCAAGGCUGAGCGUGUCUGGUGGGGGGUGUCUGGUAGCAUUUCCUUAAGGACAGAGGGAGGGAGGGCGGGCACGGAGGGAGGGAAGCGAUCCCGACCGCCUGCCCAGGCUCCUCUUUCCUUUAUUUAUUUUUCUGACACUGUACGGAGAUGGUCCCGGGACAGGGGCCGCCGGGCUCGGGAGGGAGCCGCGAGGCCCGGGCCGCAGCAGUCUGCGUGCGGGAGCCGCAGCGGCCGCCUCCCCUCCCGGUCUGUGGACGCACGGGGUUAUUCCUGGCAGCGCCUCCCCGAACAGAAGUUACUAGGAGGAGUGCGCGGCGAGGGCGGGCGGGGGGAGAGGCGGAGGGAGGGAGGAAGAGGGAGAGACUCAGCCAGCGACGUCAUCGGAUCCCCCAGCGCGUCCCAGGGAGGGAGGCCGAACCAGAAAAACCAGUCUGGAGCCGGCGAGCGGAGAGGGUUGUGCGGCGCGACGGGGGAGGGAAGCGACCGGGAAGUCAAGGCCCGGCCCCGCUGCAGCCGCGCUCCCGCUCGCUCGGAUCCAGGGAUCUCCCCAGAGAGCCAGUCUCUACUUGUCAUGCAAAAAAACUUGGGCGUCUCUAGGAGCCUGAGAAUUUCCUUUAGGGAUGCGGAAACCUCCUCCCUCCCACUCCUAUCUUCCCAUUUCCCAGAUCUUUCCUCAUCUAGAAGACAAAGAGAAUUAUAG
This 1074-nucleotide long non-coding RNA is filed under the name Sus scrofa (pig). RNAcentral's name for it is "lncRNA (ENSSSCG00070025593.1)". Lineage: Eukaryota; Metazoa; Chordata; Mammalia; Artiodactyla; Suidae. The record is from RNAcentral.